UACGUAGGCAGCGAGCGUUGUUCGGAAUUACUGGGCGUAAAGCGCGCGCAGGCGGUCUUCCAAGUCAGUGGUGAAAGCCCGGAGCUCAACUCCGGAACUGCCAUUGAAACUGUUAGACUUGAGGAUGAGAGAGGUGAGUGGAAUUCCCAGUGUAGAGGUGAAAUUCGUAGAUAUUGGGAAGAACACCAGUGGCGAAGGCGGCUCACUGGCUCAUUUCUGACGCUCAGGCGCGACAGCGUGGGGAUCAAACAGG
This 253-nucleotide ribosomal RNA is filed under the name uncultured bacterium. RNAcentral's name for it is "partial 16S ribosomal RNA". It matches the Rfam family "Bacterial small subunit ribosomal RNA", at positions 524 to 776 of the family's 1533-position model. The record is from RNAcentral.